CAGUUUCCGGCUCGAUACAAAGUUUCACCUUCCAAGUUUUCGAAUUGAAACAGAUUCUUUCUACUCACUCGCAGGUGAAUGAGGUUUAUGAGGAAACCCCAAACAGCGAACUUGGCUGCCGGGAACCACACUUGUCAAGAAAAGAGGAAGAGGGAAACGAAGACUGAGCCAGUUCCGUGAGAGACUCCUCUCCUCCAGAGGCAUUUCUUCCUUCGCUGUUGCUAUUUUAUUAGGAGACACUGCUGCAGAAACUGCUGAAUGAGAAUGCGUUGGAAGAUGGCUCCUUCCUUCAACUUUGUGCUCCUCUUCGUGCUUUUGCUGAAAGGUGCCUCCCUCA
Molecule: long non-coding RNA, 337 nt
Organism: Lacerta agilis (Sand lizard)
Lineage: Eukaryota; Metazoa; Chordata; Lepidosauria; Squamata; Lacertidae
Exons: 3
Source: RefSeq, a predicted model, not a curated record